Long non-coding RNA from Dalotia coriaria, 751 nucleotides. RefSeq lists it as uncharacterized. The transcript is spliced from 2 exons. The record is from RefSeq and is a predicted model, not a curated record. Lineage: Eukaryota; Metazoa; Arthropoda; Insecta; Coleoptera; Staphylinidae.
UGGCUUCCACUUUCUACCCUGUCACUCUGUGUUUGUUCUUGAUUGGUUCUUCAAGGAAACUUUUCCUUGGACUGCAAACAAGCUGCAAGAGUUAUUGACAAUAAUUGAUCUCUGUGUAUACAGUUGCAUUCGCAUUCGAACGCAAGUUCAAUGGCAUUGUGAAGAAGCAAUUAGCGAUCGAUAGCCAAGAAGGUCAGGGUUUACGCAUGCUUCGCCCUUGAGGUGGUGUAAUAAAUUUUCUGUUCAACAUUUUGACUGCGCCUACCAACAUUGGUUAGUAACAGUCGCAAGUACUCGUAUAUCCAUCCUGGCAACCAGCGGGCAUUGCUAGAGUUCAAAAGGUCAUGCUGAUAUCUACCGGGAGAAAUUCAUCAUCAGGGAAACAGAAGUGCAAGCGGGGAUUGCGACCACUUUCGGGAAAUUUACUUUAGGAAACAGAAAAUGAUUAAAUAAAGGAAUAACUACUUGUAAAUAUUUAGGGGUUUGGUUUGUGAGGGCAAACACAUUGGUUGCUUGGGGUGUCCGGGAACCACUCGAAAAUGGUCCCGGAAGGUCACUCUGGUAUCUUCGAAGAAAGCCUUUGGAACAGGCACGCAGAACAAGUACAUAGUAAACUUUCAGUGGAAGAUAGCUCGGGAAAUGGAUCAAUACUUUCAAACUCUGCUCAGGAAUGAGCAGAGAAUUAAGAUAGGCAACUUGUUAUACUUUAUACUAUUAUUACUUUGUAAAAUAAAGUAAAGGUAACUUAUAA